CACGUAGGGUGCAAGCGUUGUCCGGAAUCAUUGGGCGUAAAGAGCUCGUAGGCGGCUUAGUAAGUCGGGUGUGAAAACCCCAGGCUCAACCUGGGGACGCCACCCGAUACUGCUAUAGCUAGAGUCCAGUAGGGGAGUGUGGAAUUCCCAGUGUAGCGGUGAAAUGCGCAGAUAUCAGGAGGAACACCAAUUGCGAAGGCAGCUCGCUGGGACGUAACUGACGCUGAGACGCGAAAGCGCGGGGAGCAAACAGG
RNAcentral lists this ribosomal RNA (254 nucleotides) under uncultured bacterium. RNAcentral's name for it is "partial 16S ribosomal RNA". It matches the Rfam family "Bacterial small subunit ribosomal RNA", at positions 524 to 776 of the family's 1533-position model. The record is from RNAcentral.